CCAUAAGAAUUUACUUCAUUUCAUGUAUUCUGAUUGAAAAUACCUACUUUGUUGUUGUUUUUGUUUUUAGUUCUUAUAUACAGACUGAAUACAAAAUGUCCAAAGUCUGUUUUCAUUCACAUAAUGUGUAUGUACUGGCUUUCUUCAGGGAAAGUAGAGGGAAAGUCUCCUGCCUCUAUGUAACAGAACAGAGAGGGUUUUGGCAGCAGGAAGAGGCAGUGGCCAAUAGGUCAAAACUGCAUGGCACUCAUUUGCAUGGGAAGCUCUGUUGGAGUGAAAGUAAAGACAUCUGCAUUUCCCAAAUGCUGCUGGCCACAGGCUGCUGAGCCUUCUGAUGCCUCUUCAGCAAAACAGGUCCUGCUCCUAUGACAUGUCAGGCAGAUUCAGACCACCAGUCUCCAGGGCUGCUGACUGGAGCUGGAGCUUCAGCAGUUCUCAGAGUGGGCUGUCCUGUGGUAGGUUUCUGAAAAGCAUGAACGUCCUGGCUAACAAGCUCCAGCACUCCUCAGUAUCUCAUGUGGCAAGCUGUUACAGAAGCCAGGAAUGCUGGAGAGCAAGGUGUGUUUCAGAAACAUGGACAUACUCCUUGACUGUAUGCUGGGAGCUGCCAAGGAUGCACCACAGACAGUGCCCAAGCUUGUGUGUUACCCUGCUGCCAGAGACAGAACACUUCCUUCUGUAGGCUACUGGUUUGUCCAUCACACAGCUGUGCUCUUGUGGAGGAGCAGAAAGGAAGCUGGACCAUCUGAGACACAUACAACCUGAGAAUCAAGGAAGGGACUGAAAUGGACUGUCUUAGGCCUCCUAAUAUUAUUACAGCUCUAAGGACAAGAGGCACACAUUUAGCUACCCAUUGAAUCAACGGAAAGCAGUAGGCCUCUUCACUUCAUUUUACAGAUGUUUGGUUAAAUGCCUUAUGUAAUUGAAGUAGAGAGUGUGAAUACUGCUUCUGAUAAGAAUACAGCUAUAUAGUCCCAAGCAAUAUAUACUGGAGUGAUUAUGGAAGAUAAGAGGACUCAAUGGAACCAUAUCAGCAUUCAAAAGAUGGUGUCUAAAAGUCCCCAGAAACAUUCACCAUUCUGUAAAAACAGCUGAUUUGGAAAGACCCUAUUUGUAUCCUUUAAUUACAUUUCCCACGUUCUGCAGUAAAUGCCAUUCCUUUGAGAGAGGAACCUUCAAGCCUGUGUCACUGGGAUCAAACAUUCAAGAAAUGUGAUGGGGGGAAGCACAGGCAUCAGCAGAUGGCAGCUUGCUUAACCCAAGCACCAGAUGAAAAGCAAAUGUAUUAAAAGCUCUGACGUCAAAAGACAGGCAUCUUUCCAAGAGAAAUUCUGUCAGAACUUCAUAUAAAUCAAAAGACAGAUUGUGAAGCUUUUUAUUGGCAAUAGCACUUGUUCAUGAAGUAAGAUAAAUGAGUAGGGAGCAGAAAGGUAAGCCAAAAGGCAUCUUCAUUUUGCAGACCUUGCCUUGCAGCUCUGGAAUUUCCUGAACUGACAAUUGUUAAGAAAAGCCAGCGAUGCUGUAUUCACAUUCACAAUUAACUGCUAAGAAAAGAAAAUUGCAAUCACAAGAUUUGCUUGCUAAGUAGAUAUUUAAUUUGAAUUUGAAACAAAAAGGUACUUUUUAGCCUGCUUUGCACAUCUCUUACUGUGGUUAGAGCCAGAACCUUAAUGCCAAGUAAAUUUAAAGCUGCUCUAAACUACUUAUGCAUUUGGAUGUCUUUCUCUGAGUA
RNAcentral lists this long non-coding RNA (1732 nucleotides) under Anas platyrhynchos platyrhynchos (common mallard). Its description in RNAcentral is "lncRNA (ENSAPLG00000022466.1)". The record is from RNAcentral. Lineage: Eukaryota; Metazoa; Chordata; Aves; Anseriformes; Anatidae.